Catharus ustulatus (Swainson's thrush) is the source of this 3404-nucleotide RNA transcript. It is a transcript of the gene named coiled-coil domain-containing protein 81-like, with no coding region annotated. NCBI's taxonomy places the organism in Eukaryota, Metazoa, Chordata, Aves, Passeriformes, Turdidae. The transcript is spliced from 12 exons. The record is from RefSeq and is a predicted model, not a curated record.
CCGCCUGGCUUCAAUGGAUGGCCCAUUAGCAGAACAUUUCCCAUGGAAAUAAGGAUCACUGCCCCCACCCUUAACAGACGGUGAUAGAAUAGGCACCUUUUAUCACAUCCUGUAUUGUAACCCCAGACAGUCACACCCAGUGGACCCUGCCCUCAGUGAACCCCACCAGAACUACACUUCGUGGACUAUUCAUGCAUCCAGUAUCAGUCCUAUGGCUGUUUUUGCAAUAACCUAUUGUGGUGCAUCCCCCUGCUCUAUGAGAGCUCCAGAUAAGCACUUGAUAAAGUGAAGUGUCCCCUGAUGGUACCAGGAACUCCUGAGUAUAACAGGAACAGCAACUGCCUGUCCAAGGUGAGGAACAAAGGAUAAUAAUUCGUUCCCUGACAACCUUGGAACAGUGCCUGCCUGAGUCAGAGCCUAAGUGGAACAGCAUCAUUGUUGCUGGAGUUUUGAAAACAAUUGCCAAAUGUUUUGGAUAAAUUGGAUUCUGGCCAGGAUGGAAACUUACUGAUGACUCAAGCCAGUCAUCUCCUGAUCUUGCAAACACCAGUGCCUUGGAGGUCUCCUGUGCUGCAGCUCUGUGCCUGCAUAGGAUUGAGGCCCAGAAUCUGAGAUAAGGGAUUUCCAUGGGAUAUCUGGUGAUGGGAGUACCUGGGUGUGAUCACCUGCUGAGGGGGUGAUGGGUUAUCAGGCAGAGACUGGAUGAUCCCUGUCCUUGGAAUCUGCCAGGUGGAAGAGGGAGUGCUGCUCAGGUGUGACAUACUGUUAUGCCCUUGCCAAGACCCAGAGCCUUUGUAAUCUCUCUCAUUAUGACUCUUGAUAUCCCUAAUUUCCUGAUAAAUUAGAUGUUCCUCCCUCCCCCUCAAAGCAUGGACACCCCUUAGCAGAGAUUUGUGCCUCCAUAUGCAUGAGAGAAUUCCUAGGAGCUUUAAUCCUGUGCAGCUUUGCAGGUCCAGCGCAUUUAUCACUCUCAGUCUAACAAGAGUCUGUAACCCGAUGCUCCAAUAAACUGCACUGUUGGUGAAUUAGUGUCUGUGAAAGUUUCCACUGGCUGUGACCUGCCAGGUGGAACUGCCUCCUAUCAGGAAUUCAGCACUGCUGCCCACAACCCCUCUGAUCCCUCAGGACUAGCUGGGACACUAGAAAUCACAAAAGUUUGGGACUGUGUGUCUGAGUGCUAUCACCAAGACCUGCUGCUGAAGAAGAGAGUCAGGCUGAUGGGCCUGGGUACCAUCCACAUUAUGAAAAGACCCAUCUGGCAUGGAGAAGGGGAAGGUUUCAUGGCAGACAGUCCGGAGUUUGAUCUGAACAAGCCAUUUAUGGUGGGGAAGAAGCGUGUCCAUGGGAAAAGCCCUGUGCCUGGGCUCUCCAAAGCAGAUGAGUUGAUCUGUGCUGAGGUGGCCUUGCACCUGCACAAGCCCAAGGCCACCAUCGUGAUGUGCAUCGAGGCCACACUAAAGAUCUGUGAGUGGGCAUUGUCCAGUGGCGAGAACUUCGACUUUGUGUUCAAGGACAUUGGCGUCCUGGUCUGCCGGCGAAACCAUGUGGUCAUGAGGUUCUUUGAAGACUUGGUCCGAAAGGUGGCUCAGUCACAGCACCUGGCAGAGGGUUUGCUCCAGUCACCAAAUCUGAAGCCGUUAUUCAUAGUCCACACAGAAAAGGACAUUUCCCAGAUUCCACCUGGAGGUGUCUUAGUGCUGCCACACUUUGUGAAGGCAGAUGGGAAGUCCCAGCCACAUCCUCUAAGUGCUUCCCUACAAGGCACUGGAACUAGAAGAAAGACCAACACCAAGUGCCAAAAAACUCCGGGGAACCUUCCCAGUCAACGCCUCCUCCUUCGUCCGUGUCUUUCUCCAAGUCGGAUAUGCGAUGUGAAAAUGAUGGGAAGAGAAAAGAAAAAGGCUGAUGGUGGAGUGUGGAGAGGGAGUUUGCUGCCUCCAAUUGAGAACUCUGUGGAGAAGGACAGAGCCACCAAGGGCAUGGAAGCACCCCAAGCUGGGCUGGCAGCUCCCACCAGGCAGAGAAAAUGUGUCCAGCUUCCACCCCUGGAAGGGAAGAAGAGUCCAGGGAAGGCUGCUGCCUUCUGUCCUGGAGGAUUUGAAAAGCUAAGGAAGGAGAGAGUGGCUGCUGUGGCAGGAGUAGCUGCUGCUUUGUCCCCAGAGAGAAAGGAGAAGACACUGUCCCCUCGUGGAGGAAGACCACAGCCAAGGACCCCACGAGCAAAACAGGUCCUGCUAAAUCUGCAGCCAUACAAAGUUGCCCGGGAGCAGUGUGUGAAGGCCUUGCAGAUCAACAAGUUAAGGAAAUGGUCCUAUGACAAUUCCCUCAGAUGGAGACUUGAAAUUCUCUCUGGAAUCCGUGAAGAAGCUGAAGGAGCUAAUGGAUGGGAACAGACACAUCAACCCUCGCAUGAUGGUUCCCAUGGCCAGCUAUUCCCCAUGCCAAGAAAAACACCUCCCUGAGGAAUUACGGCCUGUGUGCAAGAGGGAAGAUGCACCAACGAUUUUUAGGAGGCUGAGCCUGGCUGCUGAGGACGACCUGUGUGAGAUCUGUGCCAAUGCUGCCUGCGCCGGCUGCCUCUGAGAAGGAGGAAAAACUGAUGCAAGACAUGCCCAGCUGGGAAGUUAGUGCAUUCCUGUGGCAAGAUCAUGUACUUUCACCAAUCAAUAUUCCUGGACUUCAUCUCCCACUCCAGCCAAACUGGAGCUGGCAGCUCAUGGGGACAUCCCUGCAGUUUUGUAGCACCUGGAUCAGGGGCCACUACCAGAGCAGUUCUGCCAGCAAGGAAGCUAUUACUCCUCUGAGAGGUGCAGGUACUACAGAAGUUGUGUGAUACUGGAAUAGAAAUGCCCUGUGUUUAAUUUCCCACUAUUUUCCCCAGAUUUGAACAAACUGGGUGAAACUCAGCAUCCCCAGUAGCCUUUUAAAUAGCUAAUAUUUAAUAUCGAAUAUUAAACAUCCAAUAAGCAGUAUCUAAUCAUUAAUAUCUGUCUGUGAUUUGGCCUCCCCUACACACAACACCGCUGGGUUAUUCCCUUUCCCAGUCCCUCCUUCCUAGUAUGUUGGAUCCCUUUCCCUUCCACCUGUCUGCAGGUGACACCUUUGAGUUUGUAGCAGAACUGCAACGAGUAACGCAAGCUGAAUUCUUGGUGUUCAGGAACACACUGACAGCCAGAAAUCACACUGUUCCUUGUACUGAUUGCUGUUGAUUUAGGGAAUGGGUGUAAAGUAGCAUGGAUAUGAAGGUUCUUUAAACUCUCUUUGGGAGAAAGGAAUUCCAAAGUGCAGUGCUAGAAUCACACUGAAAUUGCCUGUUGUUUUAUUUAUUGGUGGUAAGAUUAUAAAGAAAUUAUCUGCCCAUGUUUAUAUGUUGUACAGGUAAUAAAAACUAAUAAUAAUUUGGA